Molecule: ribosomal RNA, 406 nt
Filed under: uncultured bacterium
Lineage: Bacteria
Description: bacterial SSU rRNA
Rfam family: Bacterial small subunit ribosomal RNA
Source: RNAcentral
GGGGAAUAUUGCGCAAUGGGCGAAAGCCUGACGCAGCGACGCCGCGUGAGGGACGAAGGUCUUCGGAUUGUAAACCUCUUUCAGCAGGGACGAAGCGAAAGUGACUGUACCUGCAGAAGAAGCACCGGCUAACUACGUGCCAGCAGCCGCGGUAAUACGUAGGGUGCAAGCGUUGUCCGGAUUUAUUGGGCGUAAAGAGCUCGUAGGCGGUUUGUCGCGUCGGAUGUGAAAACCCAAUGGCUUAACCUUGGGCCUGCAUUCGAUACGGGCAAACUAGAGUGUGGUAGGGGAGACUGGAACUCCUGGUGUAGCGGUGGAAUGCGCAGAUAUCAGGAAGAACACCGAUGGCGAAGGCAGGUCUCUGGGCCAUAACUGACGCUGAGGAGCGAAAGCGUGGGGAGCGAAC